Molecule: RNA transcript, 1222 nt
Organism: Musa acuminata AAA Group (dessert banana)
Lineage: Eukaryota; Viridiplantae; Streptophyta; Magnoliopsida; Zingiberales; Musaceae
Gene name: stromal cell-derived factor 2-like protein
Exons: 7
Source: RefSeq, a predicted model, not a curated record
UAGCUCGACGCGGAGAGCGGUGAGCACACCGCAACCCCUGCCAUUCCGGUCCUCCGCGCCGAAGAGCCAUGGAAUAGAAUCCCGUCACCGCCUGGACCGCUUAGAAACAACGGAGUUGGAUCUUCGUUUACUUCCUCGCCAUGGCGCUCCCCGUCCUCUUUGCCCUCUCGGCCCUCCUCCUCCUCGGCCUCGACGAGGUCUCUGUUCGCCCUGCCUCCGCCGCCGCCGCCGAUGUCGUCGAAAUUACUUAUGGGUCCGUUAUCAAAUUGAUGCACGAGAAGACGAAGUACCGGUUGCACUCGCACGAUGUGCCAUAUGGAUCAGGGAGCGGGCAGCAGUCGGUCACUGGAUCUCCCGACGUGGACGAUUCCAAUAGUUACUGGAUUGUGAGGCCUCAACCAGAUUCAUCUGCCAGACAAGGUGACAUCAUCGAGACUGGAGCUAUUAUCCGAUUACAACACAUGAAAACUCGUAGAUGGCUUCAUAGCCAUUUGCAUGCUUCUCCAUUAUCUGGUAACCUUGAGGUAAGCUGCUAUGGGGGGGAUGACCGAUCAGAUACGGGUGAUUUUUGGCGUCUUGAGAUUGAGGGCAGUGGGAAAACAUGGAGGAAGGACCAGAGAGUAAGGCUUCGACAUGUUGAUACCGGUGGUUACCUACACAGCCAUGACAAAAAGUACAAUAGGAUAGCAGGAGGGCAGCAAGAGGUAUGUGGUGUUCGGGACAAACGGGCCGAUAACGUCUGGCUGGCAGCAGAGGGUGUGUACCUCCCAGUUAUUGCAAGCAAGUGAUCAACGCAUUCUGGUGAUAGCUGACGAGCCAAUGCUGCAUUAAUCUCAUCGAGGUGAGAAGAACACUUUCAUGGGAAAGCAAAGAAAACUCAGAGGCCUCACCGAUCUAACAAACUAUAUUUUGAUCAUCCGUGGAAUCAUCUGAGACCCUUUUGUCUCGAACAUCAAUGUCAGAGGCUUCAAAAAACACGUUAGGAGGACACUCAACCUCUUCUGAUGACCUCCUCCUCCUCCUCCCUUGUGUUGCAGCCUCCUCUUCAUCCUCUAUCGCUGCAACCUUCCUGCCCCUUAGCUCCUCCUGCAGCAAUGAUGAUAACUAUGAUGUCGAGAGAGGUAGAGUGGUAAUAGCAAUAAAAAUUAAUGAAUUAGUGAACAUGAUUGCAUAGAAUAAAAAGCAAGAGAGAGCUUCCAAUGAAUAUACUUCCUUUGAAUUA